CAGCUCAGCGGUUGAACACUCGCUUCACAAGCGAUAGGUCGGUGGUUCAAACCCAUCAGGG
This 61-nucleotide transfer RNA is filed under the name Phytophthora infestans (potato late blight agent). RNAcentral describes it as "tRNA-Val". The record is from RNAcentral. Lineage: Eukaryota; Oomycota; Peronosporomycetes; Peronosporales; Peronosporaceae.